UUGAACGCUGGCGGCAGGCCUAACACAUGCAAGUCGAACGGUAGCACAGAGAGCUUGCUCUCGGGUGACGAGUGGCGGACGGGUGAGUAAUGUCUGGGAAACUGCCCGAUGGAGGGGGAUAACUACUGGAAACGGUGGCUAAUACCGCAUAAUGUCGCAAGACCAAAGAGGGGGACCUUCGGGCCUCUUGCCAUCGGAUGUGCCCAGAUGGGAUUAGCUUGUUGGUGAGGUAAUGGCUCACCAAGGCGACGAUCCCUAGCUGGUCUGAGAGGAUGACCAGCCACACUGGAACGGAGACACGGUCCAGACUCCUACGGGAGGCAGCAGUGGGGAAUAUUGCACAAUGGGCGCAAGCCUGAUGCAGCCAUGCCGCGUGUGUGAAGAAGGCCUUCGGGUUGUAAAGCACUUUCAGCGGGGAGGAAGGCAAUGCGGUUAAUAACCGUGUUGAUUGACGUUACCCGCAGAAGAAGCACCGGCUAACUCCGUG
RNAcentral lists this ribosomal RNA (487 nucleotides) under uncultured bacterium. RNAcentral's name for it is "partial 16S ribosomal RNA". It matches the Rfam family "Bacterial small subunit ribosomal RNA", at positions 30 to 507 of the family's 1533-position model. The record is from RNAcentral.